Molecule: ribosomal RNA, 722 nt
Filed under: uncultured bacterium
Lineage: Bacteria
Description: bacterial SSU rRNA
Rfam family: Bacterial small subunit ribosomal RNA
Source: RNAcentral
UGCUGUGAAAGCCCGAGGCUCAACCUCGGGUCUGCAGUGGGUACGGGCAGGCUAGAGUGCGGUAGGGGAGAUUGGAAUUCCUGGUGUAGCGGUGGAAUGCGCAGAUAUCAGGAGGAACACCGAUGGCGAAGGCAGAUCUCUGGGCCGUUACUGACGCUGAGGAGCGAAAGCAUGGGGAGCGAACAGGAUUAGAUACCCUGGUAGUCCAUGCCGUAAACGUUGGGCGCUAGAUGUGGGGACCUUUCCACGGUUUCUGUGUCGUAGCUAACGCAUUAAGCGCCCCGCCUGGGGAGUACGGCCGCAAGGCUAAAACUCAAAGGAAUUGACGGGGGCCCGCACAAGCGGCGGAGCAUGCGGAUUAAUUCGAUGCAACGCGAAGAACCUUACCAAGGCUUGACAUAUAUCGGAAUCGGCUAGAGAUAGUCGCGCCCUUUGGGUCGGUAUACAGGUGGUGCAUGGUUGUCGUCAGCUCGUGUCGUGAGAUGUUCGGUUAAGUCCGGCAACGAGCGCAACCCUUGUCCUAUGUUGCCAGCACGUUAUGGUGGGAACUCAUGGGAUACUGCCGUGGUCAACACGGAGGAAGGUGGGGAUGACGUCAAAUCAUCAUGCCCCUUAUGUCUUGGGCUUCACGCAUGCUACAAUGGCCGGUACAAUGGGCUGCGAUACCGCGAGGUGGAGCGAAUCCCAAAAAGCCGGUCUCAGUUCGGAUUGGGGUCUGCAAC